UGAUGGAGCCUUGCCCUGUCGCCCUCGACAGACUCCAUCAACAGUAGCUUGAUGCCUUGAUCCACUUUGUAGCCUACUGGUUGGCCAAACAAACAUUUAGAAAAAGGAACAACAAGAUCGAACCGAGACAAACCAGAUAAGAUAAGAAAAGUUCUCCACGUAUUUUCGAGGGACUGCAGACUGCAGACAACGCUAGCUGGUUCUAACCAGAGAAGGCGCAUCGUCGAUCCAUCUGGACUUUGUUCUCUAGUGAUUUUGCUAUGUUAAUUCUGUGAUAUGAUGCAAAGGUGAAUUUCCCAUUUUGCUAAAUG
Molecule: long non-coding RNA, 311 nt
Filed under: Setaria italica (foxtail millet)
Lineage: Eukaryota; Viridiplantae; Streptophyta; Magnoliopsida; Poales; Poaceae
Description: long non-coding RNA (SITA_LNC000863)
Source: RNAcentral